RNAcentral lists this transfer RNA (66 nucleotides) under Scolopocryptops sp. 1 YG-2013. RNAcentral's name for it is "tRNA-Gly". Lineage: Eukaryota; Metazoa; Arthropoda; Chilopoda; Scolopendromorpha; Cryptopidae. The record is from RNAcentral.
UCUACUCUUUUAGUAUAAUAUAUUACAUUUAGCUUCCAACUAAAAAAUUCAAUUUAAAGAGAAUAA